AUUGAACGCUGGCGGCAGGCCUAACACAUGCAAGUCGAACGAGUGGCGGACGGGUGAGUAAUGUAUGGGGAACUGCCUGAUGGAGGGGGAUAACUACUGGAAACGAUAGCUAAUACCGCAUACCAUCGGAUGAGCCCAGAUGGGAAUAGCUUGUUGGUGGGGUAAAGGCUCACCAAGGCGACGAUCCCUAGCUGGUCUGAGAGGAUGAACAGCCACACUGGAACUGAGACACGGUCCAGACUCCUACGGGAGGCAGCAGUGGGGAAUAUUGCACAAUGGGCGCAAGCCUGAUGCAGCCAUGCCGCGUGUAUGAAGAAGGCCUUCGGGUUGUAAAGUACUUUCAGCGGGGAGGCGUUACCCGCAGAAGAAGCACCGGCUAACUCCGUGCCAGCCGCCGCGGUAAUAC
RNAcentral lists this ribosomal RNA (406 nucleotides) under uncultured bacterium. RNAcentral's name for it is "partial 16S ribosomal RNA". It matches the Rfam family "Bacterial small subunit ribosomal RNA", at positions 30 to 526 of the family's 1533-position model. The record is from RNAcentral.